UUACACAAAUAUGAAGGCGGGCUGGAACCUCUCGGGGUUACAGCCUUGCUGAAUUAUUCACCCUUGUCUUUUGCGUACUUCUUGUUUCCUUGGUGGGUUCGCCCACCACUAGGACAAACAUAAACCUUUUGUAAUUGCAAUCAGCGUCAGUAACAAAUUAAUAAUUACAACUUUCAACAACGGAUCUCUUGGUUCUGGCAUCGAUGAAGAACGCAGCGAAAUGCGAUAAGUAGUGUGAAUUGCAGAAUUCAGUGAAUCAUCGAAUCUUUGAACGCACAUUGCGCCCUUUGGUAUUCCAAAGGGCAUGCCUGUUCGAGCGUCAUUUGUACCCUCAAGCUUUGCUUGGUGUUGGGCGUCUUGUCUCUAGCUUUGCUGGAGACUCGCCUUAAAGUAAUUGGCAGCCGGCCUACUGGUUUCGGAGCGCAGCACAAGUCGCACUCUCUAUCAGCAAAGGUCUAGCAUCCAUUAAGCCUUUUUUUCAACUUUUGACCUCGGAUCAGGUAGGGAUACCCGCUGAACUUAAGCAUAUCAAUAAGCGGAGGAAAAGAAACCAAACAGGGAUUGCCCUAGUAACGGCGAGUGAAGCGGCAACAGCUCAAAUUUGAAAUCUGGCUCUUUUAGAGUCCGAGUUGUAAUUUUGCAGAGGGCGCUUUGGCUUUUGGCAGCGGUCCAAGUUCCUUGGAACAG
This 687-nucleotide ribosomal RNA is filed under the name fungal sp. RNAcentral's name for it is "eukaryotic LSU rRNA". The stretch from base 169 to 322 matches the Rfam family "5.8S ribosomal RNA". Lineage: Eukaryota; Fungi. The record is from RNAcentral.